AGCUAUACCUUGGUCCUUGACUUAUCCAAAACACCCCUCAUGAGCCCUCUUUUCCUUUCCUAUAAAGUUGAUACACACCGAUUAAUACAAUACUUCAUGAUACAAGAAUAUGAGAAUAUAUACUUUGCUUCUUUAUGCUUAUUUUUUAGCUCUUCUAGCUCUUACUUUUUGCUUUUUAUACUCAUUCUUAGCCCCCUUAACUCUUACUUUUAUUCUAUUCUAUUUUGCAUUGCUUAGAGUUAGCUAAGCCUCCAUAUAAACUCUAAAAUUUUCAGCAAUUUGACUGUAUUUUAUUUUUAUCAUCUAUCUCAAAUUCAGCCAACACCAUAAUAUCAUCUAAUUGCUGAAACAAUUCAGAUAGAUUUCAAUAAAAUCAGCAGCAACACUGAUUCUUCAAUUUAAGUUCACAAUUCAUAUAUUUCAAUUCCCCCAGCACAUCAAGUCUUAUAGUUAUUAUACAUAAUUCAAUUUAAAUUUAGUUUAGGGUUGAAGUUCUUACCUCAAUUAGUUGGAGCACUAUAGCCACAAACACAGUCUUCUUUCCCUUCCUACCAUUAGCCAUCUUUUCUUCCAGAUUUGGUUAUCAAUAGAACAUCUUCUUCUAGCUGAAUUCCGUCUGAAUUCUUGAUUGAAAAUACCAUCCUCUCUAGCCCUUUUCCCUUUCUAUUCUUUUAUUUUUACUACUGAACUAAAAUAGCAACCAAGAGGCAUCGCUGACUAAAACUUGAAAUACAAUAAAUUUAAGGGAGCUGCUUGCUAGGUGUCAAGCACAGGGAAAACUAGCAAAACAAUAAUAUGCUGAGGGGUUGUCCUAAGGAUAUUUCAGCUGUUUUGGCAUGUAUUUUGUCUUUCUCAAUUAAAUUCAGCUGAACCAAGUAAGACAAGUGGCAACACAAGGAAAGGACAAGCGGCGUAUCCAAAUUCUGCAAAUCAAUGCAUCCAUGCAGAAAUCUGUUUCUCUCACAUAGACUCACAAUACACCAAUGUAUAUACAUACUAAUUCAUGUAAUUCCCAUCUAAUUAAAUUCUUCAAUUUUAUCUCUGAUUACUUAUAUCUUUCCAUCCAAUUGAACUCUGAUUGAUUUUGCAUCUUCAAUUCCAUAUAAGCUAUGAAUUUUCUCAUCAAUCCUAAAAUGAUUUUUUUUUUCCUUCAACUUACUAAACAUAUUCCGUCCCAAUUACACUAUAUACUUUCAUAUUUUUUACUAUUUCUUCAUGCUACUAAGGUCUCAAUACUGUUAUAUAUAUUUUUUCCAAUGCCAUGAUACAAUUCUGCAAUUUUCCUCUACACCACUCAAGUUUAACUUUACAUAAUCACUAAGCAAUUCUCGACAACUCUUCCCCUCCAAUAACAAAAUAUUCAUGGCUCUUUUUAUUUUUAUAUUUUUUGAAUCUAUACCACAAAACUGCCAUAUAUAUCACCUAAGAUAUCCUUCCCAAUAUCAGCUUAUUCUAUUUUAAAUAGUUACCAAAAAUUCAUCUUCAAUGUCACUAUUAUCAAUUCAAUCUCUUAAUCUCAAAGAUCAAACAAAUUUAUGCUUUAUUAAUGCCAAUCAAUUAAUAUUCAAAGACUCAAGUAUAUCAUGAACAAAAUGUUAUGCCAUAUAAAUGAAAGCUAACAUGAAUGCAAAUUUCUUAGACCACCACAUUCUGGGUUCGGGGUGUUACAAUUCUUCUCUUCUUUUAAGAAUUUCAUCCUGAAAUUCUGUUACCCUUAAUCUGGAUAUUUAUUUGCUUUUCAUUUUAUCUCCUCUUUCUCAUCAGGCCUCUUCCAUACUGUGAUUCUACCAAAAUGUCUUAACCAAUGGUACAAUCCAAGAAUGCAACUAUUUUCCCCUUUUUACUCGAGAUAUACACUAGUUCCUCUGGAUAAGAUAAAUCUUCUUUUAAUUCAACUAGUUUGGACUGUAUAACAUGUGAUAUCCUAUAAGAUUGGCCAUCCCUAUCAAUUCCUCUUGGUUUAUCUCGACUUUGGCCUCUAUCUCCCAUUAAUGAUUAUUCUCAACUAAGUUUUGAUCUUAUCUGUACCAUCUUUCUAUAAAAUAUAAUUAAAAUAAUCAAAUUUGCUGUCCUCAAAGAUGAUUUGAUGAUGAUCAAAUAUUAAAACAUAGAUGUAUACUAUUAUCUCCCAAAUUCUUUUUAGAAAUAUUUUUAUAGAUAGAAAACAUCAUUAAAAUGAGAUUGGUAUCAAUUAAGAACAUUUUGAACAACUUAGACCUAAAUUGGAGAUAAUUCUAUGUAAAAAGAUUAUCUGAAGAAAUUGAGUCGACUCAAGAUAGAAUGGGGUCAACUCGGGCAUAAUUUUGAUGCUGGCACACAAGUUUGGCAUGGUGUCAAGUCAACUCAAAAUCAAAUUGAGUCGACUCUACCACAGAGAACAGAAAACCAAUUUCGACGGUUUGAGACUAAGUCAACUCUAAAAUUUUUUGAGUCGACUCGAAGAGAAAAUGAGUUGACUCCAAGAGAAAUCAGGCUAACUCGAUCUCAAAAAAUAAAAAUUACAGAAAGCCAUAUUUCUGCUAUCAGAGAACGAGUCGGCUCAAAUCAAACUGAGUCGACUUGAAGACCACUUAACCACUUUUUAAGCUAACUAACUAGGUAACAUAACUAGCAAUUAAUUAUGCUAUGCAUAUGCCCUUUCAAUCUACUACCUUUGCUUUGAUACUAAUAAUUGUCACACCCCACUCCCUAGAUCGAGCAAAGGUCUAAUAGUUGAGCAAAGUUUUACCAGUACCUUAUGCCGUGGUUCAUAAGCUACUAGUAAACCCUGUUCAUCUACCACAAUCUACUUCAGAAUAAUUUAAACAUAAUUUUUAAGCCAUCUCAACAUAAUUCCAAUAGCAACCUUCGGCUUUUAUUCAUCAAUCCAUAGCUUUAUACAUAUCGCUUUAAAGCAUAGUACAUUAAUAUUUUCUGAAUUGAACAACCCCAACAUACAUUAUAACCCAACAUGCUCCUCUCACUAGCUAAUAUGCCCAGAAAUGAGAUGCUUCUCUUAGUAAGCUGAUAUGCCAAACUUCUUCUAUAAGAGUGCAAAUGAUGAUGCUGAUGCUUUACUUCUAUGCUUAGCUCAGAGGCUUUAAAUUUGAAAUCAAAAGAAGUAAGGGGGAUGAGACCUAAGUCUUAGUGAGUGAAUAAUCCAUCUAACUAUGGAGAAACAGUAAGGACUAGCUUUAACAUUCAUCAUAACAUACAGCUCAUACUACUGAUAUGCUUUCAAAACAUUUAUAUGCUAAACUAGAAUAAAAUCAUACCAUAAAUCAUUUUGAAAAAGAAUACUACUGGCGACUAUCGACUACACCACAGGGCACUACUUCCAUGGCAACCGAUAUAUCUCAACUGAUACUGCUGAUCCCCAUUGGGCAUACUAAAUUUUAUGUUGUUUUUUGAUAUUUGUGGUGUCGGCUGUUGCAGUGUAAAUGCUGAUGCUGUGACACCCCUCAUAGGUUCACUCCUAUGGGUGGCCCUUUUUAAAUACAUGCUCAAUAAAACUUCAAAUGCCGAUAUGCUGAUUCAAAGGCUGAUAUGCUCAUUUAAAACAUAUCUUAAAGCAAAAUGCUAAGCUGUUCAAACUGAUACAUUCAUAUAUACAUUCAACAUUCAAUAAGAUAUCAUAUCAUAUCACUUCCUGUUUCCAAUGCUUGUAUAUAUACAAAUAAUUAAGCUGUAGAAUAACAAAAUAUAACUUUCUUUUUCAGAAGUAAGUUCUUUCAUAGCAAAGUAUAAUGAAGAAAUUACCAAAGUCAAAUAGGAAAACCCACUCACCUCUUACUAGCUAUACCUUGGUCCUUGACUUAUCCAAAACACCCCUCUUGAGCCCUCUUUUCCUUUCCUAUAAAGUUGAUACACACUAAUUAAUAUAACACUUCAUGAUAUAAGAAUAUGAGAACAUAUACUUUGCUUCUUUAUGCUUAUUCUUUAGCUCUUCUAGCUCUUACUUUUUGCUUUUUAUGCUCAUUCUUAGCCCCCUUAACUCUUACUUUUAUUCUAUUCUUUUUUGCUCUUCUUAGAGUAAGCUAAGACUCCAUGUAAACUCUAAAAUUUUCAGUAAUUUGACUGUAUUUUAUUUUUAUCAUCUAUCCCAAAUUCAGCCAACACCAUAAUAUCAUCUAAUUGCGGAAACAAUUUAGACAGAUUUCAAUAAAAUCACCAGCAACACUGAUUCUUCAAUUCAAGUUCACAAUUCAUAUAUUUUAAUUCCCCCAGCACAUCAAGUCUUAUAAGUAUUAUACAUAAUUCAAUUUAAAUUCAGUUUAGGGUUGAAGUUCUUAGCUCAAUUAGUUGGAGGACUACAGCCACAAACACAGUCUUCUUUCCCUUCCUACCAUCAGCCAUCUCUUCUUCCAGAUUUGGUUAUCGAUAGAUCAUCUUCUUCUAGCUGAAUUCCCUCUUAAUUCCUGAUUGAGAAUACCAUCCUCUCUGGCCCUUUUCCCUUUCUAUCCUUCUGUUUUUACUAUAGAACUAAAAUAGCAACCAAGAGGCACCGGUGACUAAAACUUGAAAUACAAUAAAUUUAAGGGAGCUGUUUGCUAGGUGUCAAGCGCAGGAAAAACUAGCAAAACAAUAAUAUGCUGAGGUGUUGUCCGAAAGAGAUUUCAGCUGUCUCUGCAUGUGUUUUGUCUUUCUCAAUUAAAUUCAGCUGAACCAAGUAAGACAGGUGGCAGCACAAGGAAAAGACAAGUGGCAUAUCCAAAUUCUGCACAUCAAUGCAUCCAUGCAGAAAUCUGUCUCUCAUAUGGACUCACAAUACACCAAUGUAUAUACAUACUAAUUCAAAUAAUUCCAAUCUAAUUAAAUUCUUUAAUUUCAUCUCUUAUUACUUAUUUCUUUCAAUCCAAUUGAAAUUUGAUUGAUUUUGCACCUUCAAUUCUAUAUAAGCUAUGAAUUUUUUCAUCAACCCUAAGAUGAUUUUUUUUCCUUCGACUUACUAAACAAAUUCCAUCCCAAUUAUACUAUGUGCUAUGAUAUUUCUUACUAUUUCUUCAUUCUACUAAGGUCUCAAUGCUGUGAUAUAUGUUUCUUCCAAGGCCAUGAUACAAUUCUGUACUUUUUUUAUACACCACUCAAGUUUAACUUUUCACAAUCACUAAGCAAUUCUCGGCAACUCUUCCCCUCCAAUAAUAAAAUAUUCACUAGUCUUUUUAUUUUAUAUUUUCUGAAUCUAUACCACAAAACUACCAUAUAUAUCACCUAAGAUAUCCUUCUCAAUAUCAGCUCAUUCUAUUUUAAAUAGUUAUCAAAAAUUCAUCUUUAAUGUCACAAUUAUCAAUUCAAUCUCUUAAUCUCAAAGGUCAAACAAAUUUAUGCUUCAUUAAUGCUAAUCAAUUAAUAUUCAAAGACUCAAGUAUAUCCUGGACAAAAUGUUAUGCCAUAUAAAUAAAAGCUAACUUGAAUGCAAAUUUCUCAGACCAUCAAAUUUUGGGUUCGGGGUGUUCCAAUUCUCCCCUCCUUUAAAGAAUUUCAUCCCGAAAUUUUGUUACAUUUAAUCUGGAUAUUUGCCUUUUAUUUCAUCUCCUCUUUUCUAUGUGGCUUCUUUCAUACUGUGAUUCUACCAAAAAGUCUUAACCAAUGUUACAAUCCAAGAAUGCAACUAUUUUCUUUGUUUUACUCAAGAUAUACACUGGUUCCUCUGAAUAAGAUAAAUCUUCUUUUAAUUCAAUUAGUUUAGAUUGUAUAACAAGUGAUAUCCUAUGAGAUUGGCCAUCCCUAUAAACUCCUCUUGGUUUAUCCAGACUUCGAUCUCUAUCUCCCUCUAAUGAUUGUUCUCAACUAAGUCCUGAUCUUGUUUGUACAAUCUUUCUACAAAAUAUAGUUAAAACAAUCAAAUUCACUAUCCUCCAAGAUAAUUUGAUGAUGACCAAACAUUAAAACAUAGAUGUAUACUAUUAUCUCCCAAAUUCUUUCUAGAAAUAUUUUUAUAGAUAGAAAACAUCAUUAAAAUGAGAUUGGAACCAAUUAAGAACAUCUUGAAUAACUUAGACAUGAAUUGGAGACAAAUUCUAUAUAAAAAUAUUAUCUGAAGAAAUUGAGUCAACUCAAGAUAUAAUGGGGUCGACUCGAGCACAAUUCUGAGGCCAGCACACAAGGUUGGCAUGGCGUUGAGUCGACUCAAAAUCAAACCGAGUUGACUCUGCCAUAGAGAAUAGAAAACCAAUUUCGACGGCCUGAGACCAAGUUGACUCCAAAAAUUUUUGAGUUGACUCGAAGAGAAAAUGAGUCAACUCUUAGAGAAAUCGAGCAAACUCGGUCUCAGAAAACAAAAAUUACAAAAAGCCAUGUUUCUGCUACCAGAGAAUGAGUCAGCUCAAAAUAAAUCGAGUCGACUCAAAGACCACUCUUCCACUUUUUAAGCUAACUAACUAGAUAGCAUAACUUGUAAUUAAUUAUGCUAUGCAUAUGCCCAUGCAAUCUGCCACCUUUGCUUCGAUAGCAAUAAUUGUCAUAGCCCACUCCUUAAACUGAGUAAGGGUAUAACAGUUGAGUAGAAUUUUACUAGUACCUUAUACUGUAGUUCAUAAGCUACUAGCAAACCCUAUUUAUCUACCACAACCUGCUCAAAACAAUUUAAACAUAAUUCUUAAGCUAUCUCAAGAUAAUUCUAGUAACAACCUUCAACUUUUAUUCAUCAAUCCAUAGCUUUAUACAUAUCGCUUUAAAGAAAAGUACAUUUACAUUUUCUAAAUUGAACAACCCCAACAUAUAUCAUAACCCAACACGCUCCUCUCACUAGCUAAUAUGCCCAGAAAUGAGAUACUUCUCUCACUUAGCUGAUAUGCCAAACUUCUUCUAUAUGAGUGCAAAUGAUGAUGCUGAUGCUUUACUUCUAGCUUAGCUCAGAUGCUUUAAAUCUGUAAUAGAAAGAAGUGCGGGGGAUGAGACCUAAGUCCCAAUGAGUGAAUAAUUCAUCUAACUAUAAGGAAACAGAAAAGCUUAGCUUUAAUAUUCAACAUAACAUAUAGCUCAUACUACUGAUAUGCUUUCAAAACAUUUAUAUGCUAAACCUGAAUAAAACUAUGCCAUAAAUCAUUUAAAAAAAAAAUGCUGCUGGCUACUAUCGACUAUACCAUAGGGCACUACUCCCAUGGCAGCCGAUACAUCUCAACUUAUACUGCUAAGCUCCAUUGGGUAUGCUAAAUUUUUUACUAUUUUUUGAUAUUUGUGGUGCCAGCUACUGCUGUGUAAAUGUUGAUGCUGUGGCAUCUCUCAUAGGUUGAUCCCUCCUAUGGGUAGCACUUUUCAAAAACAUGCUUAAUAAAACUUCAAAUAUCGAUAUGCUGAUUCAAAGGGUGAUAUGCUAAUUUAAAAUAUUUCUUAAAGCAAAAUGCUAAGCUGUUCAAACCGAUACAUUCAUAUAUACAUUCAACAUUCAAUAAGAUAUCAUAUCAUAUCACUUCCUGUUUCCAAUGCUUGCAUAUAUACAAAUAAUUAAGCUGUAGAAUAACAAAAUAUAACUUUCUUUUUUAGAAGUAACUUCUUUCAUAGCAAAGUAUAAUGAAGAAAUUACCAAAGUCAAAUAGGAAAACCCACUCACCUCUUACUAGCUAUACCUUGGUCCUUGACUUAUCCAAAACACCCCUCUUGAGCCCUCUUUUCCUUUCCUAUAAAGUUGAUACACACUAAUUAAUAUAACACUUCAUGAUAUAAGAAUAUGAGAACAUAUAAUUUGCUUCUUUAUGCUUAUUCUUUAGCUCUUCUAGCUCUUACUUUUUGCUUUUUAUGCUCAUUCUUAGCCCCAUUAACUCUUACUUUUAUUCUAUUCUAUUUUGCUCUGCUUAGAGUAAGCUAAGACUCCAUGUAAACUCUAAAAUUUUCAGUAAUUUGACUGUAUUUUAUUUUUGUCAUUUAUCGCAAAUUCAGCCAAUACCAUAAUAUCAUCUAAUUGCGGAAACAAUUCAGACAUAUUUCAAUAAAAUCACCAGCAACACUGAUUCUUCAAUUCAAGUUCACAAUUCAUAUAUUUUAAUUCCCCCAGCACAUCAAGUCUUAUAAUUAUUAUACAUAAUUUGAAUUUAAAUUCAGUUAGGGUUGAAGUUCUUACCUCAAUUAGUUGGAGUACUACAGCCACAAACACAGUCUUCUUUCCCUUCCUACCAUCAGCCAUCUUUUCUUCCAGAUUUGGUUAUCGAUAGAUCAUCUUCUUCUAGCUGAAUUCCAUCUUAAUUCUUUACUGAAAAUACCAUCCUCUCCAGCCCUUUUCACUUUCUAUCCUUCUAUUUUUAGUACCGAACUAAAACAGCAACCAAGAGGUAUUGGUGACUAAAACUUGAAAUAUAAUAAAUUUAAGGGAGCUACUUGCUAGGUGUCAAGGACAGGGAAAACC
RNAcentral lists this long non-coding RNA (8320 nucleotides) under Elaeis guineensis (African oil palm). RNAcentral's name for it is "long non-coding RNA (EGUI_LNC045278)". Lineage: Eukaryota; Viridiplantae; Streptophyta; Magnoliopsida; Arecales; Arecaceae. The record is from RNAcentral.